GAGUUUGAUCCUGGCUCAGAUUGAACGCUGGCGGCAUGCUUUACACAUGCAAGUCGAACGGCAGCGCGGGGGCAACCCUGGCGGCGAGUGGCGAACGGGUGAGUAAUGCAUCGGAACGUAUCCUGUAAUGGGGGAUAACGUAGCGAAAGUUACGCUAAUACCGCAUACGCUCGAGAGAGGAAAGUGGGGGAUCGCAAGACCUCACGUUAUAGGAGCGGCCGAUGUCCGAUUAGCUAGUUGGUGGGGUAAAGGCCUACCAAGGCGACGAUCGGUAGCUGGUCUGAGAGGAUGAUCAGCCACACUGGGACUGAGACACGGCCCAGACUCCUACGGGAGGCAGCAGUGGGGAAUUUUGGACAAUGGGCGAAAGCCUGAUCCAGCCAUGCCGCGUGCGGGAAGAAGGCCUUCGGGUUGUAAACCGCUUUAGUCCGGGAAAAAGGGGUGCGAGGAUAAUACCCUUGUGCUUUGAUGGUACUGGAAGAAUAAGCACCGGCUAACUACGUGCCAGCAGCCGCGGUAAUCCC
Molecule: ribosomal RNA, 524 nt
Filed under: uncultured bacterium
Lineage: Bacteria
Description: bacterial SSU rRNA
Rfam family: Bacterial small subunit ribosomal RNA
Source: RNAcentral